Long non-coding RNA from Solanum dulcamara, 356 nucleotides. RefSeq lists it as uncharacterized. NCBI's taxonomy places the organism in Eukaryota, Viridiplantae, Streptophyta, Magnoliopsida, Solanales, Solanaceae. The transcript is spliced from 3 exons. The record is from RefSeq and is a predicted model, not a curated record.
UUCAAAAAUUAAUUCUUCUAAUAUUCCAAGCAAGUUGAAGGCCCUAAUCAACAUAGAGAGAUUUUUGGAACAAGAAGACUAUUCAUUCUUGCAAGGCACAAUUCUAGCAAGUUGAAGAACUAAGUGGAAAAGAUUUUGGAAAGGCCAAGAGUUAGGUGGGGUGACUAAGGAAGCGGACAAGGUACACCCAGACAAGUAGAAGUUACCAUAGAAGAUGUUGCAGCAGGGUUAGCAACUCCACUUGUUCCUGGAGUGCUGCCGAGUCAGAGUAUAUGUGCUAUGAUGUUUCAUUCGAAGUUAGAGACUUUGCAGACAGAGUCGUGGGUAUAGAGUGUCAGCUUUGUAAGCGGCGUCAC